Molecule: ribosomal RNA, 311 nt
Filed under: Theodoxus fluviatilis
Lineage: Eukaryota; Metazoa; Mollusca; Gastropoda; Cycloneritida; Neritidae
Description: eukaryotic LSU rRNA
Rfam family: Eukaryotic large subunit ribosomal RNA
Source: RNAcentral
CCAAGGAGUCUAACAUGUGCGCGAGUCAUGGGGUUGUACGAAACCUAAAGGCGCAAUGAAAGUGAAGGCUACCGUUGGGCAGCCCAGGUGGGAUCCCUUUCCUUAGCCGGGAGGGGCGCACCACCGGCCCGUCUCGAUCGCGUCGUCGAUGAGGCGGAGCAAGAGCGCACACGUUGGGACCCGAAAGAUGGUGAACUAUGCCUGAGUAGGAUGAAGCCAGAGGAAACUCUGGUGGAGGUCCGUAGCGAUUCUGACGUGCAAAUCGAUCGUCAAACUUGGGUAUAGGGGCGAAAGACUAAUCGAACCAUCUA